AUUGAACGCUGGCGGCAGGCCUAACACAUGCAAGUCGAACGAGUGGCGGACGGGUGAGUAAUGUAUGGGAAACUGCCUGAUGGAGGGGGAUAACUACUGGAAACGGUAGCUAAUACCGCAUACCAUCAGAUGUGCCCAGCUGGUAUUAGCUUGUUGUUGGGUUAACGGCUCACCAAGGCAACGAUCCCUAGCUGGUCUGAGAGGAUGACAAGCCACACUGGAACGUAGACACGGUCCAGACGCCUACGGUAGGCAGCAGUGUGGAAUAUUGCACAAUGGGCGCAUGCCUGAUGCAGCCAUGCCGCGUGUAUGAAGAAGGCCUUCGGGUUGUAAAGUACUUUCAGCUGGGAGGCGUUACCCGCAGAAGAAGCACCGGCUAACUCCGUGCCAGCAGCCGCGGUAAUAC
This 406-nucleotide ribosomal RNA is filed under the name uncultured bacterium. RNAcentral describes it as "partial 16S ribosomal RNA". It matches the Rfam family "Bacterial small subunit ribosomal RNA", at positions 30 to 526 of the family's 1533-position model. The record is from RNAcentral.